UUAAGGUGCCAUCGUAACUUGGCGAGAGAAAUUCUCUUCGAAAGGUAGCAGAGUAGGCGCUACAACGCCGAAAUGACCUUCUCACCCUUGUGUACUCACUAUGUUGCUUUGGCGGGUCGACCUGGUUCCGACCCAGGCGGCCGGCGCACCCAGCCUUAACUGGCCAGGACGCCCGGCUAAGUGCCCGCCAGUAUACAAAACUCAAGAAUUCAUUUUGUGAAGUCCUGAUAUAUCAUUUAAUUGAUUAAAACUUUCAACAACGGAUCUCUUGGUUCUGGCAUCGAUGAAGAACGCAGCGAAAUGCGAUAAGUAAUGUGAAUUGCAGAAUUCAGUGAAUCAUCGAAUCUUUGAACGCACAUUGCGCCCUCUGGUAUUCCGGAGGGCAUGCCUGUUCGAGCGUCAUUUCAACCCUCAAGCUCUGCUUGGUAUUGGGCAACGUCCGCUGCCGGACGUGCCUUGAAGACCUCGGCGACGGCUUCCUAGCCUCGACCGUAGUACUAAAAUAUCUCGCUUGGGAGUGCUGGGCGACGGCCGCGGGACAAUCGACCUUCGGGUCUAUUUUGCCAAGGUUGACCUCGGAUCAGGGUAGGAUACCGGCUGAACUUUAGCAUAUCCAUAGCGGGGGGGAA
This 629-nucleotide ribosomal RNA is filed under the name Phyllosticta capitalensis. RNAcentral describes it as "eukaryotic LSU rRNA". The stretch from base 249 to 402 matches the Rfam family "5.8S ribosomal RNA". The record is from RNAcentral. Lineage: Eukaryota; Fungi; Ascomycota; Dothideomycetes; Botryosphaeriales; Phyllostictaceae.